RNAcentral lists this ribosomal RNA (756 nucleotides) under Veleshkinema iranicum. RNAcentral describes it as "eukaryotic LSU rRNA". It matches the Rfam family "Eukaryotic large subunit ribosomal RNA", at positions 345 to 910 of the family's 3401-position model. Lineage: Eukaryota; Metazoa; Nematoda; Chromadorea; Rhabditida; Sphaerulariidae. The record is from RNAcentral.
CAAGUACCGUGUAGGGAAAGUUGAAAAGCACUUGGAAGAGAGAGUUAAAGAGGACGUGAAACCGAUAAGAUGGAAACGGAUAGAGCUGACGUAUCUAGCUUGUAUUCAGCUAUUUAACUAAACGGAGUUGGAUUAUUUUAGACUCGCUAUGAGCUAAAUGGUUUAACUGCAGCUACGCAACCGUUUGGUAACAAGUAGUGCAUUUGCAGGUGGAGUGCGCCGAAGCGUGCUAAUUAGCGAUUGGAAACCGAUUUAGAGGAUAUUCGUUUUACGACGAGUAAACCCUGGGCCGGCGAAAAAUUGUUUAAUUGGCAUUGUUAUGUUAGUGGGCAUGGAUUACGUGCGAAUUUUGGGUUGGUUAGAUGUCAGAUGUCGGUCGCAUGCGACACGUGUCUGUUCUAUUUGGCUAACCUAAUCUUGGUACACAUGCUCCGGACUUCGGUGUAAAAGUCGGUCAUCUAUCCGACCCGUCUUGAAACACGGACCAAGGAGUUUAGCGUAUGCGCGAGUCAUUGAGUGUUUAAAACUUAAAGGCGUAAUGAAAGUGAAGGCAUUUUUAUUAAUGCUUAUAUGCGAUCCGUUGAAUUUCGAUUCGUCGGCGCAGCAUAGCCCCGCUCUAAUUGCUUGCAAUGGGGCGGAGGUAGAGCGUAUUCGCUGAGACCCGAAAGAUGGUGAACUAUGCCUGAGCAGGAUGAAGCCAGAGGAAACUCUGGUGGAAGUCCGAAGCGGUUCUGACGUGCAAAUCGAUCGUCUGAC